RNAcentral lists this ribosomal RNA (944 nucleotides) under uncultured archaeon. Its description in RNAcentral is "bacterial SSU rRNA". It matches the Rfam family "Archaeal small subunit ribosomal RNA", at positions 1 to 926 of the family's 1478-position model. The record is from RNAcentral.
UUCCGGUUGAUCCUGCCGGACCCCACUGCUAUCGAGAUGGGACUAAGGUAUGCUAGUCGAACGACCAGAACUAUGUCUGGGAGUGGCACACUGCUCAGUAACACGUAGCUAACCUACCCUUAGGACGUGGAUACCCCCGAGAAAUUGGGGUUAAUCCGCGAUAGAUGUAAUGUCCUGGAAUGGUAUUACGUCUAAAGGUAUUUCAUACAUGUUUGAAAUAUGCCUAAGGAUGGGGCUGCGGCCGAUCAGGCUGUUGGUGAGGUAAUGGCUCACCAAACCUUUGACCGGUACGGGCCAUGAGAGUGGUAGCCCGGAGAUGGACACUGAGACAAGGGUCCAGGCCCUAAGGGGCGCAGCAACCGCGAAACCUCCACAAUGCACUCACGUGCGAUGGGGCUAUCUCGAGUGCCACCUGAUGAAGGUGGCUUUUCCUUGGUCUUCAAAGCCUUGGGAAUAAGAGGGGGGCAAGACUGGUGUCAGCCGCCGCGGUAACACCAGCCCCUCGAGUGGUGGGGAUGAUUAUUUGGCCUAAAGCGUCCGUAGCCGGCCGUGAAAGUCUUCCGUUAAAUCCAGCGUCUCAAGCGUUGGACCGCGGGAGAUACUACAUGGCUAGAGAGUGGGAGAGGUCAGCGGUAUUCUGGGGGUAGGGGCGAAAUCCUUUGAUCCCCGGAGGACCACCAGUGGCGAAGGCUGCUGACUAGAACACGUCUGACGGUCAGGGACGAAAGCUGGGGUAGCGAACCGGAUUAGAUACCCGGGUAGUCCCAGCCGUAAACGAUGCAUGCUAGGUGUUGGGUUGGCCACGAGCCACCCCAGUGCCGCAGGGAAGCCGUUAAGCAUGCCGCCUGGGAAGUACGAUCGCAAGAUUGAAACUUAAAGGAAUUGGCGGGGGAGCACCACCAGGCGUGAAGCCUGCGGUUUAAUUGGAGUCAACGCCGGAAGGG